Molecule: ribosomal RNA, 1375 nt
Filed under: metagenome
Description: bacterial SSU rRNA
Rfam family: Bacterial small subunit ribosomal RNA
Source: RNAcentral
CGGGAUAGUGGCGGACGGGUGAGUAACGCGUGGGAAUCUGCCCUCAGGAGGGGGAUAACGGCUGGAAACGGCCGCUAAUACCCCAUAUGCCGAGAGGUGAAACGAAUUUCGCCUGAGGAUGAGCCCGCGUCUGAUUAGCUAGUUGGUGGGGUAACGGCCCACCAAGGCGACGAUCAGUAGCUGGUCUGAGAGGAUGAUCAGCCACACUGGGACUGAGACACGGCCCAGACUCCUACGGGAGGCAGCAGUGGGGAAUUUUCCGCAAUGGGCGAAAGCCUGACGGAGCAACGCCGCGUGAGGGAUGAAGGCCUCUGGGCUGUAAACCUCUUUUCUCAAGGAAGAAGACCUGACGGUACUUGAGGAAUAAGCCACGGCUAAUUCCGUGCCAGCAGCCGCGGUAAUACGGGAGUGGCAAGCGUUAUCCGGAAUUAUUGGGCGUAAAGCGUCCGCAGGCGGCCUUGUAAGUCUGUUGUUAAAGCGUGGAGCUUAACUCCAUUUAAGCAAUGGAAACUACAAGGCUGGAGUGUGGUAGGGGCAGAGGGAAUUCCCGGUGUAGCGGUGAAAUGCGUAGAUAUCGGGAAGAACACCAGUGGCGAAGGCGCUCUGCUGGGCCAUAACUGACGCUCAUGGACGAAAGCCAGGGGAGCGAAAGGGAUUAGAUACCCCUGUAGUCCUGGCCGUAAACGAUGAACACUAGGUGUCGGGGGAAUCGACCCCCUCGGUGUCGUAGCCAACGCGUUAAGUGUUCCGCCUGGGGAGUACGCACGCAAGUGUGAAACUCAAAGGAAUUGACGGGGGCCCGCACAAGCGGUGGAGUAUGUGGUUUAAUUCGAUGCAACGCGAAGAACCUUACCAGGGUUUGACAUCCUGCGAACCCCUGAGAAAUCGGGGGGUGCCUUCGGGAGCGCAGAGACAGGUGGUGCAUGGCUGUCGUCAGCUCGUGUCGUGAGAUGUUGGGUUAAGUCCCGCAACGAGCGCAACCCACGUCUUUAGUUGCCAGCAUUCAGUUGGGCACUCUAGAGAGACCGCCGGUGAUAAACCGGAGGAAGGUGUGGAUGACGUCAAGUCAUCAUGCCCCUCACAUCCUGGGCUACACACGUACUACAAUGCUACGGACAAAGGGCAGCAAGCUCGCGAGAGUUAGCAAAUCCCAUAAACCGUGGCUCAGUUCAGAUCGUAGGCUGCAACUCGCCUACGUGAAGGAGGAAUCGCUAGUAAUCGCAGGUCAGCAUACUGCGGUGAAUACGUUCCCGGGCCUUGUACACACCGCCCGUCACACCAUGGAAGUUGGCCAUGCCCGAAGUCGUUACUCCAACCCUUGUGGAGGAGGACGCCGAAGGUGGGGCUGAUGACUGGGGUGAAGUCGAACAAGGUA